GACGAACGCUGGCGGCGUGCUUAACACAUGCAAGUCGAGCGGAAAGGCCCUUCGGGGUACUCGAGCGGCGAACGGGUGAGUAACACGUGAGUAACCUGCCCCAGACUUUGGGAUAACCCUCGGAAACGGGGGCUAAUACCGGAUACGACACAGCUUCGCAUGGGGUCUGUGUGGAAAGUUUUUCGGUUUGGGAUGGGCUCGCGGCCUAUCAGCUUGUUGGUGGGGUGAUGGCCUACCAAGGCGACGACGGGUAGCCGGCCUGAGAGGGCGACCGGCCACAGUGGGGCUGAGAAACGGCCCAGGCGCGGACGGGAGGCAGCAGGGGGGAGGGUUGCACAGGGGGAGGAGGCGUGAUGAAGCGACUUCGCGGAGGGGAGAACGGCAUUCGGGGUGGAAACCACUGGCAGCGGGGCCGAAGAGUGUGGGAGGGGCCCGGCAGAAGGAGCGCCGGCCAACUACGUG
RNAcentral lists this ribosomal RNA (462 nucleotides) under uncultured bacterium. RNAcentral's name for it is "partial 16S ribosomal RNA". It matches the Rfam family "Bacterial small subunit ribosomal RNA", at positions 28 to 507 of the family's 1533-position model. The record is from RNAcentral.